Molecule: long non-coding RNA, 325 nt
Filed under: Gallus gallus (chicken)
Lineage: Eukaryota; Metazoa; Chordata; Aves; Galliformes; Phasianidae
Source: RNAcentral
GUGGCGAUGUCCUUGGCAGGGGCCUCGCAGCGGAAGACGUGGCACUUGAGCAUCUGCGUCAGCUGGUCCCGCGCCACGUAGGCGAAGUCCCUGCCACUGUCACGCCCCACACCCCAGACGCGGAUGCUGGCCACGGGCUGUGCAUGCAGCAGGCUCUGGUCCUGCGGGUCCACCAGCUUCAGCGUCUGGCUCUGCAGGAUUAGCAGCAUGGCCCGGCCCCCCCCCCAUGCGCCGGGCGCGUCGUGCUGGUGCAGGGACAGCUGGCGGAUGCAGUUGUUGACAGCAACGCUGCUCCUGCCAGGUGCCAACUCCUCCUCGCUCAUCU